AUCCUGUGAAAUAAAUGUUUUUAUUUGAACAGGUUCACUUAUAUGGAUUGUUUAACAUGGAUUUUGCCAUUUCCUAGUGAAUGUCCACAGGAAACACAUGCACAAAUUGGCACUAGUGUCAGUAUUUCUCCUGGAUGGAUUUGUGGUAACUAGGCAAUUGCAAUUGACUUCAUGUUCAAAACUGUUAUUUUGUUUAAAAAUCAAGUAGGCUGAAUACUGUAUGUAUGAUUCUGCAUGCUUUCAUGUGCUUGUGGGCAAAACUCUUAUUUGUCUUAAAGUUUUUACACUAGGAAAAAAAUCUAUGGGAAAUCUGGAAGAGGAUUGGGAGAUAUUUGUCACUUUGAGGCAGUUUUUAAAUAUUAUCAAGUAAAGAAUGCAUUUGGGACUUCACUUGACUAAUGAAAAGUUUAUUAACUCUCAUUUCUAGAGUUUUCUUAUUCUUUCUCAUAGUCCAGGGGCUGAAGAUCUGAUACUGAAUCUUUUGUGUCCUGAACGAUGUUUGUUAAUACCUGAAUUAUUAAGUCUGCGGCUAUUUGCUCGAUUACUCUGAUUCAACUGCUGCUUGCAGAGGCUGCAGAAGGAAGCCCAGAAGAGUGUGGCACAGCUGCGAAAUAUGACAGCAGGGACAAAUCCUCAAGCACUGCGGCUUCAGAGUAGUCUUUUAUCAACCUCAGGAGAGCUGCCUCAAGGUGAAAUCUCUGCUUGGAAACUCUGAGGAACUGCCCCCAAGAAAAGAGCCUGGCUGUGAGAGCAGUGCCCUGGGCAAAGGCGUGGAGUGGAACGCUCAAGUGGCACACAGGUACUUCAGGAUGUAAUCGCCCUUGUUGGAUUUGGACAGGAUGAAAAAGCGCCUUUUCCAUGAAUUCUGCCAAAGAGGAAGUCAAUUGUCUCUUGUUAAAACCUAGGAUAGCAGAAGUAUCUGACGUUUGGUGGGAGAUUGCUGGAAUAUGACUGAUCUGUGUUCAUGUACCUUGGAGUUGAUAAGAUGAUGCGGUGGUGACUUGAUGAAGAAACCAUGCUUGAAAACUCCACCUUCAGGGCAAAAUGGGUUUUGAGCUUCUACUAAUCAAAGAGAAAUGAAUGGCACCAUUACUCUAUGUGUUGCCGAUUAAUCUCCUAAAAGACGCUCCUUGAAAUGAAAAUUGUUGCUAAGCACUUGGUUUCUGAGCUUAAAUGACCACAAAGCACAUUCAAUUAGAGAAGAGAAACACAAAUCAAAGCAAUAAAAUACAGAACCAGGCCCUGGUUCCUUGAUGUCAUUGUUAAUGCUGACAACUGGCCAAAGCUGUCAGCAAAUGAUAGAGGUAAUGUACUGUGUUGAGAGAGGUGGCUCAGAAGAUAUCAUGAAGCUCUGUCUUAUUUAAAGUUCUUAUUUAACUUCUGGGGUCUGGUCUUACUUAGCUUCCUCAUUAGUGAACUGAAAGGCAGUAAAUGGCACCCUAAUGAAAUCUGUAGAUGGCAUUCAAUACGGACAGGCAAACACCUCAAAUGAUAGAUGAUCUUACACUGCAGAUCACGAUGCAGCAACUGGGAGAAGUCUUACAGGGUAAAUAUAAGCUAAAAGCUUAGGGUUAAAAAUACGUGAAUAUAUUUGUUCGCAACCCUACAUACAAUCAGGUUUUCUCACCACUGGUGGAUUUCUGAUCAACAGCUCAGUUUACUUUCACCCGGUGAAAGGAGUACCAAUCUCAUUCCAUUUUUUAAGCCAUAAGCCCAAUAGGAGAUGUUAAUGCUUUUAAAGAAUCCAAUGACUGAAGAAAGGACAGUCAACCUCCAACAGUCUAGUGCAAGUUCUGGGAAAGACUGUAAUACAUCAACAUCCAACUCUGUGGAGAGAAACACUUGGUUCUGAGAUCCCAUUUACUACUGACUUCAGGGGAGUAGCCUCCCCAGCUGUACCCUAGGAACAUUGCAUCGCACCUGUUUCUGAUACUGCCUUGGCAGCAAGAUAAGCUCUGUGUGCCCUGAAAGUGCAAGAACACAGCGGUGUGCAUCUUUCAGAAGCAAAAGACGAAGUGUCCUCCCUGAACUGACUGCUGACUUAUAGCUGGUGUAUGAACACAAACACCCUGAAAUAUGACCCACAAGGAAAUUCCAGUUUCUGCCUGGAGAAGCAAAUUAAAGACUGUUCCAAAAGGGGAAACCCAGAUUAAUAUUCACUUACAAACAAUUAAAAAAAUACCUGUUUGUGGCAGCCAUGAAUGUCUCCCAGGAGGAAAAAAGCCUGGAGGAGGGUCAAUGUCUGUCCUGGUUAUGGGUGACUUUCUGCAUUCUCUCCAGAGACAUCCAGCAUAUCAUUAAUGAUAAUGAUUUUCAGCUGUUCAGCUAUUCCUGCUAAUAUCAGAAAUGCUUUUAGACGAAAAAGAUUUUUAAGUUUGAGUGGGAAAUAAACUAAAAUGGCAUUGCUCAAGUCACAGGGUCAGGCUUCCUUACUGGGAACGUAUUCCUGCAGGCUAAAUAAUAUUAAUGCUUCUUGGACAUGAUCUAAAGUAAUGCUCCAUCUAGCAGAGACAUGGGCCCCUGCAUGGGCCCUAUGUUUUUCUCUCAAAGUUACCUUUCCAAGUUGCUUUCCUCUCUGGCAGCAUCUUCAUGUAUUUUAUGCCUGAUCUUUGUAUACUUCAUAUACUGGACAAGCCUGGAGGUUGCUUAAGAUUCUGCCUUUAUUUUUUCCCUUCUUUGUAAAUCAGCAUAUAGAAUUGCUGUGCUCCUUUGUUCUAUCAUAUUAUUAUUACACUAUGUUAUCAUGUUUUUUUUCCAGGAAACCUUUGGUCUACCAGGAAAGAUCUCUGAAAACCUGAUAAUACUUAUUUGCUUGAAGCAUUGGAGAGCUUCAGAUAACAUUAGUGUUUUGCCUUUCUUCCUAGAGAGACAGCUACUGCUUCACCUGGUAGUUGGAAAUUCCCAAGUUGUCUGCAUUUACUGUCCAUAAGAGUAAAUGUACAACAAGAUCUGUAGAGACCCACUCUGUCCAUCCUUUUUUUAAGACAUCACGUCAAGUGGGGCAAGAAGCUUUUCCUACUGCUAGAGUAAACUAACCAAUGCUAAUUGCUUCUAUUCCUUGUCACCACUCACCGGGAACCUCACCAGCCACAAGCUGAAUCAGGGACUGUAGGUGAGGCAGCUAUGGAGUGGUGAGAUGCACACAAACCCUGGCAACAGGACAGAGGUAUUUAAUGAUCCACCUUAAUUGCAAGCAAUUUUGAAUAGCACUGAUGGCCUUUUGCUUCACUUGACAGAAGUUGGUAAAGUCCACAUUUUUGCAGUGCUUCUGAGCAAAGAUAGAUUGGCAGUAGUUUGUUAAAUAAUUAAAGAUUGUUCUCAAACAACCUUUAUGAAUAAACUGCACAAGAAGUCUGCUCCUUAACUGUUAUGCUGUUACAUUUCUUGGCAUUAUUUCAUAAACCUCAAGUGCUCUGUUUCAGAACCCCUACUUGCUCCCUUAUUGUUCCCAAGGCUUUGUGGCUUCAGAACCACAACGUCCCUCAAUGAAAGGGUGGUUUUGGUGUCAGGGUAUCUUUGUUAACAGAACCAGCUUAGUAAAAAUCUACCUGCGAAGUGCAAUGAAGUGUAAGAGCUGUGUAAAAGUGUGAGAGUAGAGAAAAUGUUGAAUUGAUACAUUUCUCAUGGUAAAACAUUUCUGGCAUUUCUCCAGUGCUAGAAAACAGUUUAAGAUAGAGCUGUUUGCAGGAACUAAUAAGAACAUUUUCAUAUGAACCACUAGAGCACCGUACAGUGUAAUGUAUACAAACACUUUAUGCACUGGGCAAGAUUAAGGGCUGGCAAAUCAGGAGAUUUCCAUUAAAAUCUUUUCAAUAAUUCUGGUUUACUCUAUGAAAGGAUCCAGCCUACUUUUAACCCAAACAAUCAAAUGCCAGCUAAUACUUCCAAACUACUUUCCAGCUGACACAGGAAACCUCAUCUUGAUAAAGAUGCAG
Long non-coding RNA from Tympanuchus pallidicinctus (lesser prairie-chicken), 3935 nucleotides. RefSeq lists it as uncharacterized. Lineage: Eukaryota; Metazoa; Chordata; Aves; Galliformes; Phasianidae. The transcript is spliced from 7 exons. The record is from RefSeq and is a predicted model, not a curated record.